UACGUAGGGGGCAAGCGUUAUCCGGAUCUACUGGGUGUAAAGGGAGCGUAGACGGCGAUGCAAGCCAGAUGUGAAAGCCCGGGGCUCAACCCCGGGACUGCAUUUGGAACUGUAUAGCUAGAGUGUCGGAGAGGCAGGCGGAAUUCCUAGUGUAGCGGUGAAAUGCGUAGAUAUUAGGAGGAACACCAGUGGCGAAGGCGGCCUGCUGGACGAUGACUGACGUUGAGGCUCGAAAGCGUGGGGAGCAAACAGG
RNAcentral lists this ribosomal RNA (253 nucleotides) under uncultured bacterium. Its description in RNAcentral is "partial 16S ribosomal RNA". It matches the Rfam family "Bacterial small subunit ribosomal RNA", at positions 524 to 776 of the family's 1533-position model. The record is from RNAcentral.